This 465-nucleotide ribosomal RNA is filed under the name uncultured Methylophilus sp. RNAcentral describes it as "bacterial SSU rRNA". It matches the Rfam family "Bacterial small subunit ribosomal RNA", at positions 338 to 795 of the family's 1533-position model. Lineage: Bacteria; Pseudomonadati; Pseudomonadota; Betaproteobacteria; Nitrosomonadales; Methylophilaceae. The record is from RNAcentral.
CCUACGGGUGGCUGCAGUGGGGAAUUUUGGACAAUGGGCGAAAGCCUGAUCCAGCCAUUCCGCGUGAGUGAAGAAGGCCUUCGGGUUGUAAAGCUCUUUCGCAAGGGAAGAAACGAUGCAGUCGAAUAAACUGUGUUAAUGACGGUACCUUGAUAAGAAGCACCGGCUAACUACGUGCCAGCAGCCGCGGUAAUACGUAGGGUGCAAGCGUUAAUCGGAAUUACUGGGCGUAAAGCGUGCGCAGGCGGUUUUGUAAGUCAGAUGUGAAAUCCCCGAGCUCAACUUGGGAACUGCGUUUGAAACUACAAGACUAGAAUAUGUCAGAGGGGGGUAGAAUUCCACGUGUAGCAGUGAAAUGCGUAGAGAUGUGGAGGAAUACCAAUGGCGAAGGCAGCCCCCUGGGAUAAUAUUGACGCUCAUGCACGAAAGCGUGGGGAGCAAACAGGCUUAGAUACCCCAGUAGUC